GCCUUAAUAGCUCAGUGGUAGAGCGCAUCACUCGUACGCCUUCGGCGAUAUGAUGAGGUCCACGGUUCAAUCCCGUGUUGAGGCA
This 85-nucleotide transfer RNA is filed under the name Thermothelomyces thermophilus ATCC 42464. Its description in RNAcentral is "Myceliophthora thermophila ATCC 42464 tRNA". It matches the Rfam family "tRNA". Rfam says of the family: Transfer RNA (tRNA) molecules are approximately 80 nucleotides in length. Their secondary structure includes four short double-helical elements and three loops (D, anti-codon, and T loops). Lineage: Eukaryota; Fungi; Ascomycota; Sordariomycetes; Sordariales; Chaetomiaceae. The record is from Rfam by way of RNAcentral.